AUGGUGUUUGAUGUAGGUAGCUCGUUUUGCGUCUCCUAGUGUUGUUUGCAUUCGAAAUUAACAGUCACUUGUUUAGGUUAGGGCUCUGAAUAAUGUCGUUGCCUUAGAGUUUGCUAAUUGGGAAAAGAUCAAAAUCGCUUAUUUGAUAGAAUUUUUGUAUUCAAAGAAUUGAAUCGUUCACUUUCUUUAAAUUUUCAUAUUUUUUUUUGUAGGCUUCCAAAAGUCUGGGAAGUGAAAGCAUAUUUUACAGAUACAUACUAUGAAUGAAAUACCACAAAACGAAAGAGUCAAGUAAAUAAGCAUAAUUGAUUAGAAUCAAAUAAUAGUAAAUAUAGAUUUAUGACUCUUCUAUUUACUUAUUGCUUUACUAUAAGGAACUAGUACCAUCAGGUGUACUAAAUAGGUAUAAAUUCGCUGUAGAGUAAAUGUUGAAAAUAGUCUAACUAAUUAAUAAUGGAAACAUUAAAUACUGCACAGAGAUCCGAAUGUAUAAAAUAGGGAUGUAGAUACGCAUCUAUUAGCACUGUGUAUCAACUACAUGAUUCAUCAACUGUACUAAAAUCACACACCGUGUACGAGACAUCGUUAAGUUUAACCGU
Non-coding RNA from Schizosaccharomyces pombe (fission yeast), 599 nucleotides. NCBI's taxonomy places the organism in Eukaryota, Fungi, Ascomycota, Schizosaccharomycetes, Schizosaccharomycetales, Schizosaccharomycetaceae. The record is from the annotation of a GenBank genome assembly.